Molecule: ribosomal RNA, 732 nt
Filed under: uncultured Staphylococcus sp.
Lineage: Bacteria; Bacillati; Bacillota; Bacilli; Caryophanales; Staphylococcaceae
Description: bacterial SSU rRNA
Rfam family: Bacterial small subunit ribosomal RNA
Source: RNAcentral
GUCGAGCGAACAGACGAGGAGCUUGCUCCUCUGACGUUAGCGGCGGACGGGUGAGUAACACGUGGAUAACCUACCUAUAAGACUGGGAUAACUUCGGGAAACCGGAGCUAAUACCGGAUAAUAUAUUGAACUGCAUGGUUCAAUAGUGAAAGACGGUUUUGCUGUCACUUAUAGAUGGAUCCGCGCCGCAUUAGCUAGUUGGUAAGGUAACGGCUUACCAAGGCAACGAUGCGUAGCCGACCUGAGAGGGUGAUCGGCCACACUGGAACUGAGACACGGUCCAGACUCCUACGGGAGGCAGCAGUAGGGAAUCUUCCGCAAUGGGCGAAAGCCUGACGGAGCAACGCCGCGUGAAUGAUGAAGGUCUUCGGAUCGUAAAACUCUGUUAUUAGGGAAGAACAAAUGUGUAAGUAACUAUGCACGUCUUGACGGUACCUAAUCAGAAAGCCACGGCUAACUACGUGCCAGCAGCCGCGGUAAUACGUAGGUGGCAAGCGUUAUCCGGAAUUAUUGGGCGUAAAGCGCGCGUAGGCGGUUUUUUAAGUCUGAUGUGAAAGCCCACGGCUCAACCGUGGAGGGUCAUUGGAAACUGGAAAACUUGAGUGCAGAAGAGGAAAGUGGAAUUCCAUGUGUAGCGGUGAAAUGCGCAGAGAUAUGGAGGAACACCAGUGGCGAAGGCGACUUUCUGGUCUGUAACUGACGCUGAUGUGCGAAAGCGUGGGGAUCAAACAG